This 278-nucleotide long non-coding RNA is filed under the name Lathyrus oleraceus (garden pea). RNAcentral describes it as "Pisum sativum (pea) long non-coding RNA (PSAT_LNC014830)". The record is from RNAcentral. Lineage: Eukaryota; Viridiplantae; Streptophyta; Magnoliopsida; Fabales; Fabaceae.
ACAAGUGGUUAAGCAAACCAUUCCUGUUCAAGUAGAGAUAGUGGCAGCAGAAGAUGAGACAGUCCAUGAGGGACAAAUCCUUAGACCCCAACAAAAUCAAGGCGUUGAGUCAUGAGUAGCAGGAUGUAACCAGAUGGUGUUAGUUAACCGACAUCAGGAUGCUGAUCAAAUUGUCGAUCAAUAUCGGCAAGAAGACUUAGCAGUGGAAAAUAAUUUGACAACUAUUGUCGAAAGAAUUAUGGCUAGGAAUGGUAUGAGUGCCACAUUGCAAAGGCCAC